GAUGAAGAACGUAGCGAAAUGCGAUACUUGGUGUGAAUUGCAGAAUCCCGUGAACCAUCGAGUCUUUGAACGCAAGUUGUGCCUCAAGCCAUUAGGUUGAGGGCACGUCUGCCUGGGCGUCACAUAUCGUUGCCUGAUGCCAGUUUCCUCGUGAUGGGUGACUGUGCAGGGCGAAUGAUGGCUUCCCGUGAGCAUUGUUGCCUCAUGGUUGGUUGAAAAUUGAGUCCUUGGUAGGGAGCGCCGUGAUAGAUGGUGGUUGAGUGACGAACGAGACCCAAUCAUGUGAGACCCCUACCGAAUUUGGCCUUCAUGACCCACGUGCGUCUUUGGAACGCUCAUGACGAGACCUCAGGUCAGGCGGGGCUACCCGCUGAAUUUAAGCAUAUCAAUAAGCGGAGGA
This 400-nucleotide unclassified non-coding RNA is filed under the name soil metagenome. RNAcentral describes it as "partial contains 5.8S ribosomal RNA, internal transcribed spacer 2, and large subunit ribosomal RNA". The stretch from base 1 to 122 matches the Rfam family "5.8S ribosomal RNA", at positions 35 to 154 of the family's 154-position model. The record is from RNAcentral.